This 483-nucleotide ribosomal RNA is filed under the name uncultured bacterium. RNAcentral describes it as "bacterial SSU rRNA". It matches the Rfam family "Bacterial small subunit ribosomal RNA", at positions 28 to 526 of the family's 1533-position model. The record is from RNAcentral.
GACGAACGCUGGCGGCGUGCUUAACACAUGCAAGUCGAACGCUGAAGCUUGGUGCUUGCACUGGGUGGAUGAGUGGCGAACGGGUGAGUAUCACGUGAGUAACCUGCCCCUGACUUCGGGAUAAGCCUGGGAAACUGGGUCUAAUACCGGAUAUGACCAUCUUUCGCAUGUUGGGUGGUGGAAAGUUUUUCGGUUGGGGAUGGGCUCGCGGCCUAUCAGUUUGUUGGUGGGGUAAUGGCCUACCAAGACGACGACGGGUAGCCGGCCUGAGAGGGCGACCGGCCACACUGGGACUGAGACACGGCCCAGACUCCUACGGGAGGCAGCAGUGAGGAAUAUUGGACAAUAGGCGAAAGCCUGAUCCAGCGACGUCACGUGAAUGAUGAAGGCCUUAGGGUUGUAAAAUUCUUUUAGUGGAGAAGAUAAUGACGGUAUCCACAGAAAAAGUCCCGGCUAACUUCGUGCCAGCCGCCGCCGUAAUAC